RNAcentral lists this ribosomal RNA (425 nucleotides) under uncultured Nannocystaceae bacterium. Its description in RNAcentral is "bacterial SSU rRNA". It matches the Rfam family "Bacterial small subunit ribosomal RNA", at positions 355 to 776 of the family's 1533-position model. The record is from RNAcentral. Lineage: Bacteria; Pseudomonadati; Myxococcota; Nannocystales; Nannocystaceae.
UGGGGAAUAUUGCGCAAUGGGCGGAAGCCUGACGCAGCCACGCCGCGUGAGCGAUGAAGGCCUUCGGGUCGUAAAGCUCUGUGGGGAGAGAAGAACCAAGCCUGUGAAGAGCGGGCCCUGACGGUAUCUCCUUAGCAAGCACCGGCUAACUCCGUGCCAGCAGCCGCGGUAAUACGGAGGGUGCAAACGUUGCUCGGAAUCAUUGGGCGUAAAGCGCACGUAGGCGGUUUCGCAAGUUGGAUGUGAAAGCCCUGGGCUCAACCUAGGAAGUGCAUCCAAAACUGCGAGACUUGAGUCCCAGAGGGGGUCGGAGAAUUCCCGGUGUAGAGGUGAAAUUCGUAGAUAUCGGGAGGAAUACCAGUGGCGAAGGCGCCGACCUGGAGGGGUACUGACGCUGAGGUGCGAAAGCGUGGGGAGCAAACAGG